UGUAAAUAUAAUUUUCUCUGCAGCUAUGCAAUUUGGUUCAUUUCAACCUUUGGACAAAGUUCAUCUCCCAUCAACGAAAAUGAAUUUUUCCCGACGAUGUUCUUCUGUUAUGCCGUUGAAAGCCGAGCCAAAGAGCAACGAUUCAAUUGUCCCUUCAGCAGCAACCAUUAUUGCCCCUGGUGAGUUUUUUCUUUUUUAAGACACAAUUUGUUUAAUUUAUUGUGAUUUUUGGACAAUCUGAAAUGACGGAUUGCCCUUGAUUUUGUUAUAGAAUUAAGCAGACGUGUUUGAAAAGGUCGAGGUAGAGGAUUACGAAAAACUGGCCAAGUAUCUUCAAAAUGCUUAUCGUCUUGAGAUUAUGGACAAAGCCCUUGCGAAAUUCGGAAAUGAUAAUGCAAUUGCUUUCAGGUAAUUCUGAAAAUCGUGAUUAACUCAUAAAAUUGAUGUAUCUAUAGAAAUUUUUAUAAUGGCAUUUGACUAUGCUAAUAAACCGUCAAAAAUAAUUUAGCUCUCUCUACUUUAUUUAUUUUUUGGAUGGUUGCAUAAUUUACUAUUUGUGUGUAUAAAAUCUUUAACUAAGGACCUGAUUAAUAGGUUUGUUUUUCCAUGGAAAAUGGAAAAAAUUUUCCAUUUCCACCCAAAAAUGUAUGUUUGAUUGCAAAAAAAUUUCAUAGAAUUGGUUUUCCAAUUAUUCUCCCCUCCCCCCACGUUACCACAUUUUCUUGGUUUUUAAGGAAUUCAAUUUCCUUUGGUUUUGGUGGGAAUUGGGUUUUUCAGGUUCUUUUUUUAUUAUUUUCAAAUUUUUUUGGCAAUGAAAACAAAUUCUAUCCACAAUUGUAACAAUUUUCAUGAAAAACAAAACCAAACGAAUACCAAAAGAUCCCAAAUUUAAACAUCUUUCGGUGAAAAUUUAUACCAAUUAAACAUAUGUAAUUAACAAUUCCCAGCAAAAUAAGUUUUAGACAAUUUAAUUUCCUGAAAUUUGUUUUCUUUCCAUCCAAAUUUCAUUCUUGCAAUAAAAUGGACCCUAAUAGACUAUUCAGUACAUGGAAGCUUUUUAUUUUGAUGAAAUCUGUAUAUGGAAAUUGAGGCAUUUGAAAAUAUUAGCCGUUUGGUACCAUGUGGAACUUUGCAUAUAUCAUGUGAACAAGUACUUCAAAUGAAAGCAUGCUGAAUCAGGAUUUACUUACUGAGAAAAAUAAUUAUUGCAGUGGCGCCGAAGAUGUUGCGUUGAUAGAAUAUGCACGUUUAACUGGCCGACCAUCUAGAGUUUUUAGCUUGGACACCGGUAGGUUGAACCCUGAGACAUACAAAUUCUUUGACGAUGUUGAGAAGCACUAUGGGAUUUGCAUUGAAUCCAUGUUUCCUGAUGCUGUUGAAGUUCAGGCUUUGGUUAGAAGCAAGGGACUUUUCUCUUUUUACAAAGAUGGGCACCAGAGUGCUGAAGUGUCAGGAAGGUUAGGCCACUGAGGAGGGCCCUUAAGGGGCUUCGUGCUUGGAUAAUUGGCCAGUGGAAGGAUCAGUCUCCUAGUACUUGCUCGAAAAUUUCAGUUGUUCAAGUUGACCCUAUCUUUGAGUGGCUGGAUGGUGGGAUUGGCAGCUUGGUGAAGUGGAACCCAGUGGCAAAUGUGAAGGGUGAUGAUGUCUGGAAUUUGCUCUGGGCCAUGAACGUGCUUGUGAACUCAUUGCAUGUUCAAGGAUACAUAUCCAUUGGAUGUGAGCCAUGGACAAGACCCAUCCUACCUGGGUAACACGAGAGAGAGAAGUUGGUGGUGGAAGGGUGCCAAGGCCAAGGAGUGUGGCUUGCACAAAGGUAACAUCAAGGAAGAAAGCUUAGAUGGCAACCACGCAAAUGGAACCGCCACUCAUGCUGAUCUUUUCAGCACGCAUAAUGUUGUUAACUUGAGCAGGUCGGGAAUCGAGAACUUACUGAAAUUGGAAAAUAGGAAAGAGGCUUAGCUUUUUGUGCUCUAUGCACCAUGGUGCCGCUUUUGCCAGGUAAAUAUUUAUCUCGACGCUAAUUGUACUGCUGUUUAUCAACAUGAGUUUCAGUCUAAAAUCCGUUUUUUCUUAUCCUAACAGGCAAUGGAAGGAUCAUUUGUGGAACUGGCAAAGAAGAUUGCAGGUUCCGGUGUUAAGGUGGGAAAGUUUAGGGCAGAUGGGGAGGAAGCAGUUGCUCAGAAAGAAUUAAUGUUGGGGAGCUUUCCUACAAUACUUUUCUUCCCCAAACAUUCUUCAAGGCCGGUAAAAUAUCCCUCCAAGAAGAGAGACGUGGAUUCAUUGGUGACUUUUGUGAAUGCACUCGGACAAGACAUCGAAGGAUCAGAUUCGAUUAGUAUUAGGAGGAAAGGGGGGACAAUAUUCGCAAAAGGUUCAUAUUCCAUUACGGAAUAUAAGGAUCCUAUCCCCGAAAGGAAAUAUGGGGAAGUUCACCGGGAGGUUGUAUCACCUAUUUUCCUACCGAUUUUGGUCUUCUUGCGACUCCAUUUGAGUGAUGAAAUAGUAUUUUUGCUAUUUUGAUUGGUUUUCUUUUGCCUGUCCUUUAAGGGGCUCAGUUUUGUAAGUUACAUGAUUGUGUAAAAUUAUUAUUUGAGACCAUUUCUUUUGCUUCUUGGCUUGAAGAAAAAAGUGGAAAGAUUAAUGUCUCAUGCUAUUAUCUUAUUAAUAAGAAAUAUAUUUCAAGAUCAUGC
Molecule: long non-coding RNA, 2690 nt
Filed under: Olea europaea subsp. europaea
Lineage: Eukaryota; Viridiplantae; Streptophyta; Magnoliopsida; Lamiales; Oleaceae
Source: RNAcentral